This is a long non-coding RNA of Thunnus maccoyii (southern bluefin tuna), 1338 nucleotides long. RefSeq lists it as uncharacterized. The transcript is spliced from 3 exons. The record is from RefSeq and is a predicted model, not a curated record. Lineage: Eukaryota; Metazoa; Chordata; Actinopteri; Scombriformes; Scombridae.
UAAACAGCUCCAGUUACAAUAUAUUCUCUUAAUUAAAGGCGUGCGUGUUAAUUAGAUAUUACAUUUCUAUGUACUAUAUUAACAGGGCUUCACUGAGAAGAAGACCUCAUUUAUUCAUGUUUUAGACCUGUGAGGUCGCGAAUUGUCAUGUAGGUGAAGCGCAGAGCAUUUAGACAGAUUUUCACAGUCAUACACAGCGGUGAACUAAAACAAGAUAAACGACAUAUAGUCCCCACGCGCGUUCUUGCUUUAUUCCGUGGUGGGUGUUUGCUGCUCGGCGGCUGAGGGCGGGAAUGAGGGGGUGGGAGGCUGGGUCCUUUGUCCCUCUGCAGCCCCCUCCUCCCCCAGCAUGACAGGAGCGCCAGCCGCGGUUGUGGCAGCAUUUGUCUCCCGUGCAAAACAUGUGUCCCCUCGUUUAGUCUACCUUGCUACAUGUUAUGGAAUUCACUGUGAGCAUGAUGUACAGUUAGCUAAUAAUAACUGAAUGAGUGAAAUAAAAGACCGUCAACUUCCUUGUAGAAUUAACGGACGCGUGUGCUCUGUCAUAGUGACUCCACUCACGGGGUUGGUCAUUUACUGACAUAAAGCACCAUAACGUUAGGCGACUAGUGUGUACCAAGCAGCUACCACGAUGUCCAUUCUUCCUAAUGAUAUGAACCGGUGUUAGUAUUUGGGGUUUUUGUGCAUACAUUUCUUUUUUGAAAAGUUGUGUCUUUAGCAAAACUAGCUGUCCAAAAACACAAAGCCACUUUGCUAUAGCUUCUAACGUUAGUUCCCCGACAUUAUAUCGAGGCUCAGGGAAACACAUUUUUGAGCGAAACACAUUGAGGCACAACAUCUAACUGUUAGCUAAGACACCAAAACAGCAUCUCUGCUAACCUGCGAAGACAGCACGGUGUGAAAACCACAGCAGGUAGAAACACAGAGACACCGUUAAACCAACUCCAGUCUGACUACAACACAAACAAGUGAGUGAAGCCAGUGCGAGCAAACAGAUUAGUAGAGACAAAUCCAACGCUGACAAGCGGCUCAUGUAGUCUGCUUUAUUCAAGCGUAGUAAAACCCAGUGGCUGCUUAUUAUCCUUGUAACGCGGGCACCCACUUACCCGUUUUUCCUGCUCGUCCGCGGUCAGUUUCCUCAGAAAUAAGAGAGCUGCAUUGUUGACAUUGGCUUCCUGACGUCAUGCUGGCCCUCAUUCACAACAACGGCCACCCCCCCUGCUCUUAGGUAGUGGAGCCCCCGCCUUGUGAUGCAGCGGAGAUGUUUGAGAUCCAAACAGUACCACCUGUGUGACAUCAGUCAGCUGGCAGUUGGCAGAGACUGGAAAAACAGUACGC